AGGGUAACCUUUUAGUAACGAAGCUAACGCGUGAAGUUGACCGCCUGGGGAGUACGGUCGCAAGAUUAAAACUCAAAGGAAUUGGCGGGGACCCGCACAAGCGGUGGAUGAUGUGGUUUAAUUCGAUGCAACGCGAAAAACCUUACCUACACUUGACAUGCCAGAAAUCCUGCAGAGAUGUGGGAGUGCCGCAAGGAAUCUGGGCACAGGUGCUGCAUGGCUGUCGUCAGCUCGUGUCGUGAGAUGUUGGGUUAAGUCCCGCAACGAGCGCAACCCUUGUCACUAGUUGCUACAUUUAGUUGGGCACUCUAGUGAGACUGCCGGUGACAAACCGGAGGAAGGUGGGGAUGACGUCAAGUCCUCAUGGCCCUUAUGUGUAGGGCUACACACGUCAUACAAUGGUCGGUACAGAGGGUUGCCAACCCGCGAGGGGGAGCUAAUCUCACAAAGCCGAUCGUAGUCCGGAUCGCAGUCUGCAACUCGACUGCGUGAAGUCGGAAUCGCUAGUAAUCGUGGAUCAGCAUGUCACGGUGAAUACGUUCCCGGGUCUUGUACACACCGCCCGUCACACCAUGGGAGUGGAAUCCGCCAGAAGUAGUUAGCCUAACCGCAAGGAGGGCGAUUACCACGGUAGGUUUCAUGACUGGGGUG
RNAcentral lists this ribosomal RNA (651 nucleotides) under uncultured Azonexus sp. RNAcentral's name for it is "bacterial SSU rRNA". It matches the Rfam family "Bacterial small subunit ribosomal RNA", at positions 828 to 1482 of the family's 1533-position model. The record is from RNAcentral. Lineage: Bacteria; Pseudomonadati; Pseudomonadota; Betaproteobacteria; Rhodocyclales; Azonexaceae.